This 407-nucleotide ribosomal RNA is filed under the name uncultured bacterium. Its description in RNAcentral is "partial 16S ribosomal RNA". It matches the Rfam family "Bacterial small subunit ribosomal RNA", at positions 28 to 526 of the family's 1533-position model. The record is from RNAcentral.
GACGAACGCUGGCGGCGUGCCUAAUACAUGCAAGUAGAACGCAGUGGCGAACGGGUGAGUAACGCGUAGGUAACUGCCUCAUAGCGGGGGAUAACUAUUUGGAAAGAUAGCCAAUACCGCAUACUGUGAGAUGGACCUGCGUUGUAUUAGCGAGUUGGUGAGGUAAAGGCUCACCAAGGCGACGAUACAUAGCCGACCUGUGAGGGUGAUCGGCCAACCUGGGACUGAGAAACCGGUCAGACCUCUAACGGAGGCAGCAGUAGGGGAUCUUUGGCAAUGGACGGAAGUCUGACCGAGCCACGCCCCGUGAGUGAAGAAGGUUUUCGGGUCGUAAAGCUCUGUUGUUCGAGAAGCGUUACCCACCGAGAAAGGGACGGCUAACUACGUGCCAGCAGCCGCGGUAAUUC